RNAcentral lists this ribosomal RNA (324 nucleotides) under Pireneitega huashanensis. RNAcentral describes it as "partial small subunit ribosomal RNA". Lineage: Eukaryota; Metazoa; Arthropoda; Arachnida; Araneae; Agelenidae. The record is from RNAcentral.
UAAACUAGGAUUAGAUACCCUAUUAUAUCUAAACAAAUAAAGUAGUAAAUAAAUAAAACUAAUUUAAUUUGGCGGCAUUUCACCUAUUUAGAGGAAUUUGUCUAUUAAUCGAUAACCCACGUUUUUUUUCACUUUAAUCUAAAAUUUAUAUACCGCCAUCUUAAGAGUCAAUUUAAAAAUAUUCCUCCCAAUAAUUAAUAAAAAGUUAGGUCAAGGUGUAAUCUAUAUUAAAGAAUCAGAUGAAUUACAUUAAAUAAUAUUUAAGGCUUAUUUAUAUAAAUAUAUAAUACAAAUAAGGAUUUAAAAGUAAUACAUAAACAAUAA